UACGUAGGAGGCGAGCGUUGUCCGGAUUUACUGGGCGUAAAGCGCGUGUAGGCGGCCCUGCAAGUCGGAUGUGAAAUCCCACGGCUCAACCGUGGAAGUGCAUUCGAAACUGCAGGGCUAGAGUCCUGGAGAGGAAGGUGGAAUGCUUGGUGCAGAGGUGAAAUUCGUAGAUAUCAAGCGGAACACCGGUGGCGAAGGCGGCCUUCUGGACAGUGACUGACGCUGAGACGCGAAAGCGUGGGGAGCAAACAGG
RNAcentral lists this ribosomal RNA (253 nucleotides) under uncultured bacterium. RNAcentral describes it as "partial 16S ribosomal RNA". It matches the Rfam family "Bacterial small subunit ribosomal RNA", at positions 524 to 776 of the family's 1533-position model. The record is from RNAcentral.